Molecule: ribosomal RNA, 760 nt
Filed under: uncultured Prevotella sp.
Lineage: Bacteria; Pseudomonadati; Bacteroidota; Bacteroidia; Bacteroidales; Prevotellaceae
Description: bacterial SSU rRNA
Rfam family: Bacterial small subunit ribosomal RNA
Source: RNAcentral
GAUGAACGCUGGCUACAGGCUUAACACAUGCAAGUCGAGGGGAAACGACAGGGAAGCUUGCUUCCUUGGGCGUCGACCGGCGCACGGGUGAGUAACGCGUAUCCAACCUGCCUCUGACUGAGGGAUAACCCGUCGAAAGUCGGCCUAAUACCUCAUGGCACCGUCUGCGGGCAUCCAACGACGAUUAAAGAUUUCAUCGGUCAGGGAUGGGGAUGCGUCUGAUUAGCUUGUUGGCGGGGUAACGGCCCACCAAGGCUACGAUCAGUAGGGGUUCUGAGAGGAAGGUCCCCCACAUUGGAACUGAGACACGGUCCAAACUCCUACGGGAGGCAGCAGUGAGGAAUAUUGGUCAAUGGGCGAGAGCCUGAACCAGCCAAGUAGCGUGCAGGAUGACGGCCCUAUGGGUUGUAAACUGCUUUUAUGCGGGGAUAAAGUGAGGGACGUGUCCUUCAUUGCAGGUACCGCAUGAAUAAGGACCGGCUAAUUCCGUGCCAGCAGCCGCGGUAAUACGGAAGGUCCUGGCGUUAUCCGGAUUUAUUGGGUUUAAAGGGAGCGUAGGCCGUGGAUUAAGCGUGUUGUGAAAUGCAGGUGCUCAACGUCUGCACUGCAGCGCGAACUGGUCCACUUGAGUGUGCGCAACGCAGGCGGAAUUCGUCGUGUAGCGGUGAAAUGCUUAGAUAUGACGAAGAACUCCGAUUGCGAAGGCAGCUUGCGGGAGCACAACUGACGCUGAAGCUCGAAAGUGCGGGUAUCGAACAGG